Molecule: ribosomal RNA, 474 nt
Filed under: uncultured bacterium
Lineage: Bacteria
Description: bacterial SSU rRNA
Rfam family: Bacterial small subunit ribosomal RNA
Source: RNAcentral
GGACGAACGCUGGCGGCGUGCCUAACACAUGCAAGUCGAGCGAGGAGAUCCUUCGGGAUGAUCCUAGCGGCGGACGGGUGAGUAACACGUGGGCAACCUGCCUCAUAGAGAGGAAUAGCCUUCCGAAAGGGAGAUUAAUACCUCAUAACAUUGCAGUUUCGCAUGGAACAGCAAUUAAAGGAGCAAUCCACUAUGAGAUGGGCCCGCGGCGCAUUAGCUAGUUGGUGAGGUAACGGCUCACCAAGGCGACGAUGCGUAGCCGACCUGAGAGGGUGAUCGGCCACAUUGGGACUGAGACACGGCCCAGACUCCUACGGGAGGCAGCAGUGGGGAAUAUUGCACAAUGGGGGAAACCCUGAUGCAAGCAACGCCGCGUGAGUGAUGACGGCCUUCGGGUUGUAAAGCUCUGUCUUCAGGGACGAUAAUGACGGUACCUGAGGAGGAAGCCACGGCUAACUACGUGCCAGCAGCGGC